RNAcentral lists this ribosomal RNA (266 nucleotides) under uncultured bacterium. RNAcentral describes it as "partial 16S ribosomal RNA". It matches the Rfam family "Bacterial small subunit ribosomal RNA", at positions 793 to 1055 of the family's 1533-position model. The record is from RNAcentral.
GUCCACGCCGUAAACUAUGGGUGCUAGCCGUCAGCGGGCUUGCUCGUUGGUGGCGCAGCUAACGCAUUAAGCACCCCGCCUGGGGAGUACGGUCGCAAGAUUAAAACUUAAAGGAAUUGACGGGGGCCCGCACAAGCGGUGGAGCAUGUGGUUUAAUUCGAAGCAACGCGCAGAACCUUACCUACCCUUGACAUCCCGGUCGCGGACAUCAGAGAUGAAGUCCUUCAGUUCGGCUGGACCGGUGACAGGUGCUGCAUGGCUGUCGU